AAGAGUGUAAUUUAAAGGUAAAAUGAAAAGCUCCAAACUUUUCUUUCUCAGUUCAAAUCUGAGUGCUCUUG
Non-coding RNA from Peziza echinospora, 71 nucleotides. The record is from the annotation of a GenBank genome assembly. Lineage: Eukaryota; Fungi; Ascomycota; Pezizomycetes; Pezizales; Pezizaceae.